GAUGAACGCUGGCGGCGUGCCUAACACAUGCAAGUCGAACGGCAACGCCCUGCUUUCUUGCGGUUACCGAGUGGCGAACGGGUGAGUAACACGUGAGUAACCUGCUCUUCACUUUCGGAUAACUUCAGGAAACGGGGCCUACUACAGGAUAGGAGCUCACGCUGGGUGGUGGGGGUUGGAAAGUCUCGGCGGUUGGGGAUGGAUGGGCGGCUUACGGGUUAGUUGGUGGGCUAGUGGCUGACCAAGGGUUUGACGGGUAGCCGACCUGGGAGGGUGGACGGGGACAUUGGGACUGAGAUACGGCCCAGACUCGUACGGGAGACAGAGGUGGGAAGUAUUACACAGUGAGCGGGAGCCUGUGACGGAGGCGCCGGGUGCGGGAAGACGGCCUGCGGGUUAUGAACCGCAGUCGCCUAAGACCAAGCGGUAGUGACGGUAAUGAGUGAAGAAGCACCGGCUAACUACGUG
RNAcentral lists this ribosomal RNA (468 nucleotides) under uncultured bacterium. RNAcentral describes it as "partial 16S ribosomal RNA". It matches the Rfam family "Bacterial small subunit ribosomal RNA", at positions 28 to 507 of the family's 1533-position model. The record is from RNAcentral.